CCCUAAUCAUAAUUUUUCCCUUUUCCCCAGCCUCAGAACGCAGCCCCACCCCACCUUUCUUCCAAAACACCAACACCCAAACAAAAGAAAGAAACAAAGAAAUGGAAAGGGAGAAUAGAGAGCUUGGAAUCAGAGAAGAGGGAGCUGCACUCUGCGCCGUCCAGCUCGCCGCCGCAGCACCUCGCCUGCGCCGUUAUUCAUGCCCAUCACCGUGCAGCCAUUGCUAACUCGCCUUGCCAUCACCGCCGCUGAAGCAAGGUCACAUCGCCGUCAGAUUUGAAGCCGUUGAGGAGCUGAACGCUCGCGAGAGAGAGGACAAACACGAGGAGAGCUUGUGCGCGAAGGGUAGCGCCGCUGUGUCUCUGUCGCGCCUUCAUCACUGUCGAAGCUGCACUUUCGCGUCACCAUCGUUGUGCCUCCACCGAGCCUGUCACACUGCUGCUGUUGCGAUGUCAUUACUGUCGCGAGGGAGAAGAGAUGCGUGAGGAAGGAAGCUCGCAGGGGAGAAAGAAGAGGCUGCCUGUGCCACCCGCUCUGUCGUGUCUGAUCUCUGUUAUCACCGCGUCGCCGCCACCGAAGGUCCGCCGCCAUUGUUUCCAUCGCCUCCAUGCUUCAUGUUCAUCCUGCCAAUCAUUACUGUCUUUGUUCGGUAUUGCUGUCCUUAUCCGGAACCACCGAUGUCAUUGUUGUUGCUUCCCCAGAAGAACUGAGGUUACUGAUACUGUUCCGGCCGAACUAGCUAUUGUAAACUGGAAAAAGAAGGGGAUCGCCACAUUUAAAUUCGACGGUUUCGACUAAUUGAGUGACACAGGUUUGAAGACGCAAUUUGAAGCUGCGAGCGAUUAGUAGGCUUUCUUUAUGGUUUUAAUUGCUUUCAUAGAGUCCCCUUGCCAUUAUCCCUUGAUAUUUUAUUUUAACAGAGGGAUAGGUAUUGUACUUGGGUUUAUAUGACUUCUUAUGUAUAAGAAUUACUAUUAAUAAUACUUAUGUGAUUGUUAUUAUUAUUUGCAA
Molecule: long non-coding RNA, 1011 nt
Organism: Arachis ipaensis
Lineage: Eukaryota; Viridiplantae; Streptophyta; Magnoliopsida; Fabales; Fabaceae
Source: RefSeq, a predicted model, not a curated record